CUCCCCUUGGUGUAGUGGUUAUCACGCUCGACUGUAAUAUUAAUUGUAUUCGAGAGGUCCUUCGUUCGAUUCGUUAGAGGGGAGA
This is a non-coding RNA of Pyrenochaeta sp. DS3sAY3a, 85 nucleotides long. NCBI's taxonomy places the organism in Eukaryota, Fungi, Ascomycota, Dothideomycetes, Pleosporales, Cucurbitariaceae. The record is from the annotation of a GenBank genome assembly.